UGGCUCAGGAUGAACGCUAGCGGCAGGCUACACAUGCAAGUCGAGGGGCAGCGUGGAGUAGCAAGUACUCUGACGGCGACCGGCGAAAGGGUGAGUAACGCGUGAGCAACAUGCCCGUAGUUGGGGGAUAGUCGAUGGAAACGCCGCGUAAUACCCCGUAACAACAGAGGCCGCAUGACCUUUGUUUAAGAGAUUUAUUGUCUACGGAUUGGCUCGCGUACCAUUAGCUAGUUGGCGGGGUAACGGCCCACCAAGGCGACGAUGGUUAGGGGUUCUGAGAGGAAGGUCCCCCCACAUUGGAACUGAGACACGGUCCAGACUCCUACGGGAGGCAGCAGUGAGGAAUAUUGGUCAAUGGCCGAGAGGCUGAACCAGCCAUGCCGCGUGCGGGAUUGACGGCCCUAUGGGUUGUAAACCGCUUUUGUUGGGGAGCAAUAAGGUUCACGUGUGGACUGAUGAGAGUACCCAGCGAAUAAGCAUCGGCUAACUCCGUGCCAGCAGCGGC
This 505-nucleotide ribosomal RNA is filed under the name uncultured bacterium. Its description in RNAcentral is "bacterial SSU rRNA". It matches the Rfam family "Bacterial small subunit ribosomal RNA", at positions 20 to 518 of the family's 1533-position model. The record is from RNAcentral.